ACAACGUUCGCAUCCAACUGACAUAAGAAAAGCGGCUCAUCUCGUGUCAACAAAAACGCGGAUUUCUUUUCAGUCCCACCCACCACCCACACACGCAACCAUGUGGUUCACUGUGCUGAGAGUGUAGUGUGAGCACACACUGUGCGUUCCUCUGCCCAGGCGUUGCUGACGCAUUUCAGAUCUUACAACGCAUGGACAGGCCUACAGGUCGAGAGUGGUGGCUGAUGGGAGGGGCUAAUAGAAACACAUGGAAAGAAUGAAUGGAACUGUAUCCAACAUCAAACAAAUCAUUUCCAUGUGUUUCAUACCAUUGCACGGAUCCCAUUCUAGCCAUUACUAUGAGCCGACAUCCCCUAACCAGUCUCCUCUUCUUUCAGGGAUGUGCUUGUCGUGACUUCUGAUGAAUAAAGAUAUUGUACAAAGAUAUUGUGGAAAAUAGGGAAGAAAAUCAUGUAUUUUAUUUUUUAUUUAUUUACACAAAGCCACACUGGGACACUUUGGACUCCUUGAGAUCCACAACUAGUGACUUCUCAGGCCCUCAAAGGCUUACCUUUAAUGAAUUGGACCUGGAGUUCCCAUCAGCUCAAAAUGAUUGGUUUUCAUAUCGUAUAAAGCCGUUCUUUCUUUUUAAACAGUCUUUAUGAAGAGCUGUCAUUUUAUUGUGAGGAACUGUAGUUUUAUCAGAUAUUUAUUCUGUUUUGUGAGUGAUAUUUCUUGUUGAAGAUAAGGUAGAAAAUAUUGUAGAAUAUAAGGUAGAAGAUAUUGUAGGAGAUAAGGUAGAAUAUAUUGUAAAAGAUAAGGUAGAAUAUAUUAUAGGAGCUAAGGUAGAAUAUAUUGUAGAAGAUAAGGUAGAAUAUAUUAUAGGAGCUAAGGUAGAAUAUAUUGUAGAAGGUAGAGUAUAUUGUAGGAGAAAAGGUAGAAUAUAAGUUAGAAGAUAUUGUAGGAGAUAAGGUAGAAUAUAUUGUAGAAGAUAAGGUAGAAGUUAUUGUAGGAGAUAAGGUAGAAGAUAAGAUAGAAUAUAAGGUAGAAUAUAUUGUAGAAGAUAUUGUAGGAGAUAAGGUAGAAGAUAAGGUAGAAGAUAUUGUAGAAGAUACUGUAGGAGAUUAAGGUAGAAGAUAAGGGAGAAGAUAUUGUAGGAGAUAAGGUAGAAGAUAAGGUAGAAGAUAUUGUAGAAGAUAUUGUAGAAGAUACUGUAGGAGAUUAAGGUAGAAGAUAAGGGAGAAGAUAUUGUAGGAGAUAAGGUAGAAGAUAUUGUAGGAGAUAUGGUAGGAGAUAAGGUAGAAGAUAUUGUAGGAGAUAAGGUAGGAGAUAAGGUAGAAGAUAUUGUAGGAGAUAAGGUAGGAGAUAAGGUAGAAGAUAUUGUAGGAGAUAUGGUAGGGGAAAGGUAGUAAAUAAGGUAGAAGAUAUGGUAGGAUAUAAGGUAGGAGAUAAGGUAGAAGAUAUUGUAGGAGAUAUGGUAGGAGAUAAGGUAGAAUAUAUGGUAGGAGAUAAGGUAGGAGAUAAGGUAGAAGUUAUUGUAGGAGAUAUGAUAGGAGAUAAGGUAGGAGAUAAGGUAGAAGAUAUUGUAGGAGAUAAGGUAUGCACAUGUUACUGUAAGUCUCUUUGGAUAAAAGUGUCAAGUAAAUAACAUAUAUUAUUAUGAUUAUUAAAAUAAUAAUGAAAUAUCAGACAGAGGAGUACCUGCCUAGAUAAAUGUCUCACCUGUAUGGAAUGAAUCGCAGUUAUCCCAUCUUACUGUGUACCCCAGGUAAGACUGUCAACCACAGACCAUAUCAGUUCUAUAUCUAUGCUGUCAACGGUCAACCAAUCCACAUAAGUGAAUUGAUCUGGGGCCGUAUGUAUCAAGUGCUAAUCUAAGAUCAGUUCUAAGACACUUUAUGAAUACAGGUCCCGAUAGUUAAAAUAUAUCUGAGGCCUGUUUUUAGGGACUAAAUCUAUGAUGUAUGAAUCAUUUAUCCUAAGGGCAGAAUUCAGCUCAGCAGUUGACUGUUUUUCUAGACUCUCUCCACUAGAUGGCGGUCUUAGUAGGGGCUACUGUUUACUUCGAGAAACGCUAAUGGCUGUUCAUCUUGAGUUUACACAAGACAACAAACAGUAAAAACAUAAAAAUACCUUGGAUAACUGAGACAAGAAAGGUUAUACUUCAUUGGAUAUUGAUAUAGCCUCCCAAAUGGACUUGCAGUGCUACAUGGUUAUAUUAAAUGUGUUUUGUGUGUGAGGGUAUCACUAUGGAUCAGGGAUUGAACCCUCUUUGACCUUCGUCAUGGUCAUUGGAUAUCUUUAUUUGUAUUUAUUCUUUAUUUAUUUAGGCAGGGAGUUCCAUUGAGACUAAGGCCUCUGUUGGAAGAUGAUGUAAAACAUUACAGUAUAUUCAUACCUCUUCCCUCAGUUGGCGUGAUGAACCAAUGGGACAUGUUGACUACCUGACUGAGACUAUGAGGCAUACAAUAAACAUGGUAGCAUUUAAUAACUACCUUUCAUUCA
Molecule: long non-coding RNA, 2484 nt
Organism: Oncorhynchus masou masou (cherry salmon)
Lineage: Eukaryota; Metazoa; Chordata; Actinopteri; Salmoniformes; Salmonidae
Exons: 2
Source: RefSeq, a predicted model, not a curated record